GGUUAAGCGACUAAGCGUACACGGUGGAUGCCCUGGCAGUCAGAGGCGAUGAAGGACGUGCUAAUCUGCGAAAAGCGUCGGUAAGGUGAUAUGAACCGUUAUAACCGGCGAUGUCCGAAUGGGGAAACCCAGUGUGAUUCGUCACACUAUCGUUAACUGAAUACAUAGGUUAACGAGGCGAACCGGGGGAACUGAAACAUCUAAGUACCCCGAGGAAAAGAAAUCAACCGA
Molecule: ribosomal RNA, 231 nt
Filed under: Klebsiella aerogenes
Lineage: Bacteria; Pseudomonadati; Pseudomonadota; Gammaproteobacteria; Enterobacterales; Enterobacteriaceae
Also listed under: 6 other names
Description: partial 23S ribosomal RNA
Rfam family: Bacterial large subunit ribosomal RNA
Source: RNAcentral